This 206-nucleotide ribosomal RNA is filed under the name uncultured bacterium. RNAcentral's name for it is "partial 16S ribosomal RNA". It matches the Rfam family "Bacterial small subunit ribosomal RNA", at positions 568 to 774 of the family's 1533-position model. The record is from RNAcentral.
UGCGUAGGCGGUUUGUUAAGUCAUUUGUAAAAGAUCUCAGCCCAACUGAGUAAGGCGAAUGAAACUGGCAGACUUGAGUACGGUAGAGGUAAGUGGAAUUCCAUGUGUAGCGGUGGAAUGCGUAGAUAUAUGGAGGAACACCAAUGGCGAAGGCAGCUUACUGGGCCGGAACUGACGCUGAGGCACGAAAGCGUGGGGAGCAAACA